RNAcentral lists this ribosomal RNA (210 nucleotides) under uncultured bacterium. RNAcentral describes it as "partial 16S ribosomal RNA". It matches the Rfam family "Bacterial small subunit ribosomal RNA", at positions 568 to 776 of the family's 1533-position model. The record is from RNAcentral.
CGCGUAGGCGGCGGGGCAAGUCGGGUGUGAAAUCUCAGGGCUCAACCCUGAAACUGCACUCGAUACUGCUCUGCUUGAGGACUGGAGAGGAGACUGGAAUUCACGGUGUAGCAGUGAAAUGCGUAGAUAUCGUGAGGAAGACCAGUGGCGAAGGCGGGUCUCUGGACAGUUCCUGACGCUGAGGCGCGAAGGCCAGGGGGAGCAAAACGG